RNAcentral lists this long non-coding RNA (2236 nucleotides) under Homo sapiens (human). Its description in RNAcentral is "HSALNT0321474". The record is from RNAcentral. Lineage: Eukaryota; Metazoa; Chordata; Mammalia; Primates; Hominidae.
GCCACACGGAGCACAUUGCAGCCAUUCAGUUUCUUCUCCAGGGGAUAGGAGGUAUAGGCCAGUCCAGCCUGGUGACAUAGUGUGCACUCCAAUGUAUUUUGUUACAAGCUAAUAAAGGCUUUCAUCCUUUGUACAAGACACUGGUGUGUUUCUUUUUUUGGAAUUUAUCCAGAAAUAUUCUUCCUAUUCUCAGGGUUCCUAAAACUACAUUAAAUAUUAUCUGCCUACGGUAAGUGACAAAAUCAACAGAACCUAGGUUUUUUGCUUCAUUUUAAAAAAAAAAAAUUCUAUUAUUAAUGCAUUAAACCUGGCGUUUUGGCUUAAUUUUAAUUUGGAUAAUUCAUUUUGCCUACAUAAAUUUUCCCAAAGUUUCAAUUAAAUACGGCAUCCUUUGAUUCUGAUCCUGAACCAACAUUCUUAUUUUUCUGAAUCAUUGAACAGCUGGCACAUUCCCACCCCCAGAUUAGGUUUCCAUCCAUUCCAAGUUAGUAAACAUCAUUCAGAAUUCAAAAUAAAAAAAAUGCAUCUUAAACUAGUAAUAUUUUUUUUUAAGAGACUAUGUCUCUAUGUUGCCCGGGCUGAACUGAAACUCUGAGAUCAAGCAAUCCUCCCACCUUAGCCUCCCGAGUAUCUGGCUUGUGCCACCCCUCCCAGCUAAAUAUUUCAGCAACUUCAGAGGCACUUAAUUUUCCUCCUUUUGUAAACUGGCAAUCUUGACUCUAACAUUGCUAGGAAUUACUUAUCUAUAUUUGUCCUUAAAUACAAGACUAUUAAAAAAAAAUCAAGGGCUGCUUUCUGCCCGUGGAUACCGCUGAGGAAGCCUCGUUAAAGUCUCUCUUCCCAGGGCCGUCCUGUCCUAAAGAGCCGGAACAGCUGCGGAAGCUCUUCAUGGGAGGGCUGAGCUUUGAAACAACCGAUGAGAGCCUGAGGAGCCCUUCUGAGCAGUGGAGAAGGCUCACAGAUUGUGUGGACUCCAAGUGAAGGUGAAAGAGACCAGACGAGACCUUUCCUAAUUCCAUUCAUCUCUGAGGGAUUUAUAAGGAAGUUACCAACCCCUGGUCUAAAUAAUCAAACAGAGAAAAGAAGAAAAGGAAAAAAGGAUCAGAGGACACAGAAGAAUUUCUGGACACACUUCCAUCUGCUAAUUAAAUGGAAGGAGCAAGUUUGGGUUUUUUUGUUUUUCCUCUACCUCAAUCAAAGACUAUGAAUCUUUCUUUUAAUCUCUGGAGCUAACUUCUCUAAUUAGUUUCCUAGAGGAAGAGGAUGCUUUACUAUUGGCAUUUCACACUCUGCACAAUGGUAUGAACUUGACAUACCUCAGCUGAUCCAGCAGAAAGAGCUCUAAAACUCAAAAGUUAUGUCAUCAGUAACUGUCAAUAGAUAGAAGUGUUCGCAGGUACUACUAGUUCCAAUACUCAUUGACUUUGUAACAACUGGUAUAUUAGCUACAAUCAAACAAAAUGAGGUAUUCUUUACAAGAAUUACAUAAGCCCUUUCCAAUAAAUUUUCUGUAACGAUGGAAAUAUUCUAUAAUCUGUCUAGAUAACUAGUUUGGGAUGAGGUGAGGGGGAAGGAGAGAUUACAAAAGGGCUUGGAGGAAACUUUUAAGCAUAAAAGAUGUGUUCAUUCCUUUGAGCAUAUUGAUGGUUUCAAAUUUCAUUUUAAAUUUGUCAAAGUACAUAUGUUAAAUAUAUACUGUUUACUUUUUACCUCUAUAAAGCUGUAAGAGAGUAUAUGUGUGUGUGUGUGUGUGAGAGAGAGAGAGUGUGUGUGUGUGUGAGUGUCUGUGUCCUACUGGGUUAAAAACAUAAAGGCCAUAUCACUUUUGCUGAAGAGCUGCUUUAUGGUGUGCAGCUAGAGUUUUGCUUCGAGUACAUAAUCUUUGUCAUUCCUGGAAUUCAGAAAUGUCAGACCAUUGAUGGAAGUCAAGGGAAACCAACAUUAAUGUCUCCUGGCUGGAGACACAGAAGAAGGAAGCAGGGGCCAGAUCACAUAGACACUGGGUAGAUAAGUGCAAAGUAUUCUUAUUUAAUUCUAAAUAAGACUGUAAUGGGAAAUCAAUGCAGAAUUUAGGAAAGGAUUUUAUUUUCAGAGUUCCCUUUGUGGUUGCUUUUAGUUAUACUGUUCAAACUAUAGAUAUACGGUUCCAAAACUCAAUACAUAUAAAAAUGUAUCUAACGAAAAACCCUCUGCAUUAGUUAUCUAUUACUAUAUAAUAAAUUAUCCCAAAACAUAA